This 2206-nucleotide long non-coding RNA is filed under the name Carica papaya (papaya). RNAcentral describes it as "long non-coding RNA (CPAP_LNC006050)". The record is from RNAcentral. Lineage: Eukaryota; Viridiplantae; Streptophyta; Magnoliopsida; Brassicales; Caricaceae.
AUAUGACUGCGUCAGAGUAUGCCCGAAAGUUCCUAGAGUUGGGCCGGUAUUUCCUGAGAGCAUGAUGGAUAAAUGUAGAAAGGUAAGGAAGUUCGAGUGGGACAUCCAUCCUAAAGAUUAGACAACAGCUGUAUGUCUUCGAGCUCAGUAGUUACUCAGUUGUUCUGGUUAAGGUACAGCUAGUGGAGAGGAACCUUUGCAUUUUUUAUCCAGCAGUGGAGAACCUCACGCCGCAGACCAGCACCCACUGCAUUUUUUUAGUAGAAUAAGAGACCUAGGCUAAUGACUCAGGUUCCUCUUCAGAUUCCGGUAACAGGACGCGGCUUGAUAGUAUUGUGGCAAGGAUCAUGAGGACUAACCCUGCUAUCGCCUUAACAAUACUUGCCGUAUAUAUAAAAGUGCCCAACACUACGCGAGAGAGUGCCCAAGGAAUCAGAAUCAGACUAGACCUCCUAUUUAGGGUAGAGCUUACAGUUUCAUUCAGCAAGAUGCAAAAGCCAACCCAGACGUGAUACAUGGUACGUACACUAUCUGUAAUCAUUUUGCACAUGUUUUGAUUGAUACUAGUGUCUCACAUUUAUUUGUCUCACAUACUUUUACACUAAACUUGAAGGUAUUACUUGAAAAACUUAAUUCUGUAUUGUUUGUGUUUACUCCUGGGAGUAGGACGCUGCUAGAGGAGGUUAUAUACAAAUCUUGUAUCAUAAAUAUAAUAGAUAGAAAAUAUAGUGUGGACUUAAUAGAAAUUGACACGAGGGACUUUGAUGUAAUCCUAGAAAUGGACUGGCUAGCGGCGUAUUACGCCACCGUAGAUUAUUUUCACCAAAAACUUGUAUUCAACCCUAAUAAUAAAGAAUUAUUUACAAAUUAAUAAAAUUAUUAUGUAAGGAAUGAAAAUUCUACUUAUAUUAUUUUGCUUUCGCAUUUAAUUUAUAAUUUUAUUUUCUUUUAAAUUCUGAGUAUUUAUAGUUAGUAUCAGAGCCAGGUUCUUUUCCGGCUGGUGGCUCCGCUGGCUUAUCUUUGCAGCUGAGAUUUUUUCUUCAGUCAAUCUAUUUAGGCGCUCGGAGGUGGCUCUGGUAUUGCGGCGGUUAGCGAUCGGCUCCAUUCUUUGGUGACUGGUUCUUCUUCGGCGGGACGCUAGUGCCUAGAGUUUAGGUUCGGUGUGAUGCGAAAUAUUUAUACCUAUCUCGCGUUAAUCUGUAUCGUUCAUCGCGUUUAAUCUCGAUCGUUCGAUCGCAUUUAAGGAGGAAUCGAAUCUGGGCUGUUCAUCACGUUUAAUCUCGACCGUCCAAUCGUGCUUAAGGAAAAUACAGAUCCAGACUGUCCACAUGUGCGGGAUCGCUUUUGGUUCGUCCGAUCGCGAGGUACGUGAAUCGACGGCGUAACCUCACGCAUGGCACCGAGUCAGUGCGCCUUGCCAUGCGGCGUGCUUCGAUUCAUCGAGGCUGCUGACUGGGCGGUCCUAUGUGGCUAAAUUUUUCUUAUUUGGACUUUGACUCCCAGUUUUUUAUUUUUCUCUCAAAACACUAUCCGAACCCAAAUGUUUACUCUUUUUUUUUCAAAAUUAUUUUUAAUUUCAUCCUUAACCUUUUUUUUUUUUUUUUCAUAAUUUCACAUUAAAUUAAAAUUUAUUAAUUUUAAAAAUAGAUUUUUAUACAUUUUAAAAUGUUAAAAUUAAAAUCGGGCCAAAUUUCAAGGUUGGGUAUUACAACUCUUUCUCUCUUAAAAGAAAUUUGAUUCUUACACAAUAAUCUAGAAACCCAAUAGAAUUAUGAGAAUAUUUUUUCUAAAAAAAUAAAUAAAAAUUAAAGAAAUAAACGAAAAAUAAAUAACUGAGCAUUCUAUGAUGACAAUCACUAGCUUUUGAAUGGAGUUCGGGUGGUGAAUUAUUCAUAACUUUCUUGUUGAUCGCUAUUUGAAUCUUGAUUCUUUUGAUAUGAAAUAGUUAAUGAAAGGGGACCAAAAUUUAGAUCUCGGUCAAUAAGAGAGUUGUGAAUAGUUCACCACUCGGACUCUCUUCAAAAGCUAGUGAAGGUCGUCUUAGGAUACUUAAUUAUUUGUUUUUCGUUUAUUUAUUUAAUUUUCAUUUAUUUUUUUAAAAUAGAUAUUUUCGUAAUUCUAUUGGACAUUCGAAAUUAUUAUGUAAGGAAUGAAAACCUUAAUUCUAUUAUUUCGCUUUCGCAUUUAAUUUAUAAUUUUAUUUUCU